GAUGAACGCUGGCGGCGUGCCUAAUACAUGCAAGUCGAGCGAACGGACGAGAAGCUUGCUUUUCUGAUGUUAGCGGCGGACGGGUGAGUAACACGUGGAUAACCUACCUAUAAGACUGGGAUAACUUCGGGAAACCGGAGCUAAUACCGGAUAAUAUUUUGAACCGCAUGGUUCAAAAGUGAAAGACGGUCUUGCUGUCACUUAUAGAUGGAUCCGCUCUGCAUUAGCUAGUUGGUAAGGUAACGGCUUACCAAGGCAACGAUGCGUAGCCGACCUGAGAGGGUGAUCGGCCACACUGGAACUGAGACACGGUCCAGACUCCUACGGGAGGCAGCAGUAGGGAAUCUUCCGCAAUGGGCGAAAGCCUGACGGAGCAACGCCGCGUGAGUGAUGAAGGUCUUCGGAUAGUAAAACUCUGUUAUUAGGGAAGAACAUAUGUGUAAGUAACUGUGCAAAUCUUGACGGUACAUAAUCAGAAAGACACGGCUAACUACGUG
RNAcentral lists this ribosomal RNA (497 nucleotides) under uncultured bacterium. RNAcentral's name for it is "partial 16S ribosomal RNA". It matches the Rfam family "Bacterial small subunit ribosomal RNA", at positions 28 to 507 of the family's 1533-position model. The record is from RNAcentral.